UAUGGCCAUAUCUUGUUGAAACACUGAUUCUUGUAUGAUCACUGAAGUUAAGCAAUGUCAAGCCUAGUCAGUACCUAGAUGGGUGACCGCUUGGGAUGUUCAGAU
Acanthosepion pharaonis is the source of this 105-nucleotide non-coding RNA. The record is from the annotation of a GenBank genome assembly. NCBI's taxonomy places the organism in Eukaryota, Metazoa, Mollusca, Cephalopoda, Sepiida, Sepiidae.